RNAcentral lists this ribosomal RNA (254 nucleotides) under uncultured bacterium. RNAcentral's name for it is "partial 16S ribosomal RNA". It matches the Rfam family "Bacterial small subunit ribosomal RNA", at positions 1247 to 1500 of the family's 1533-position model. The record is from RNAcentral.
AGGCGAAGGAGUAAUCCGGAGCGAACCCCAAAAAUAACGUCUCAGUUCGGACUGUGGUCUGCAACCCGACCACACGAAGCUGGAAUCGCUAGUAAUCGCGAAUCAGAAUGUCGCGGUGAAUACGUUCCCGGGUCUUGUACACACCGCCCGUCACACCAUGGGAGUCAGCAACGCCCGAAGUCAGUGACCUAACCGAAAGGGAGGAGCUGCCGAAGGCGGGGCCGGUAACUGGGGUGAAGUCGUAACAAGGUAAC